CGUACACUCCUGCGGGAGGCAGCAGUGGGGAAUAUUGCACAAUGGGCGCAAGCCUGAUGCAGCCAUGCCGCGUGUAUGAAGAAGGCCUUCGGGUUGUAAAGUACUUUCAGCGGGGAGGAAGGCGAUAAGGUUAAUAACCUUGUCGAUUGACGUUACCCGCAGAAGAAGCACCGGCUAACUCCGUGCCAGCAGCCGCGGUACUACGGAGGGUGCAAGCGUUAAUCGGAAUUACUGGGCGUAAAGCGCACGCAGGCGGUCUGUCAAGUCGGAUGUGAAAUCCCCGGGCUCAACCUGGGAACUGCAUUCGAAACUGGCAGGCUAGAGUCUUGUAGAGGGGGGUAGAAUUCCAGGUGUAGCGGUGAAAUGCGUAGAGAUCUGGAGGAAUACCGGUGGCGAAGGCGGCCCCCUGGACAAAGACUGACGCUCAGGUGCGAAAGCGUGGGGAGCAAACAGGAUUAGAAACCCCGGUAGUCCC
This 475-nucleotide ribosomal RNA is filed under the name uncultured organism. Its description in RNAcentral is "partial 16S ribosomal RNA". It matches the Rfam family "Bacterial small subunit ribosomal RNA", at positions 330 to 797 of the family's 1533-position model. The record is from RNAcentral.